UCUGUGAUGGAACAGGACUUGCCUUUCCUGCUGGUCUUUGUGACUCAGGAUUCUAUUGCAGUGGAGGAGCUGUUUCUCCAAGACCCCAUCUGGUCACAAGCAAAGGUGGUCAGUGCCCACCUGGCCAUUAUUGUGUGAUUGGGACUGAUAGACCACAACCAUGCCCAGCAGGGAGUUACAAUCCCUUCUGGGAAAUGGACCAAUGUUUGGAUUGUCCAGAAGGGGCUUAUUGUAAUAUUGGUUCUGCCAACUACACCCACUGCCCUGCUGGUCAUUACUGCCCAAAGAACACCAAGUUUGCUACCCAGUUCCCUUGUCCCAGAGGGACCUACAGUGAAAUUUUGAGCCUCAGGAUGGUGGCUGAGUGCCAGCCAUGCCCUUCUGGGAAAUUUUGCUCCAAGCCCGGUUUGAUCAAUCCUGAUGGCAUCUGCAUGCCAGGAUGGUAUUGUCCACUUGGGUCAACGUCAGGCAAGCCAAUAUCUACAGGAAAUCACUCUGAAGCAGACUUAAUUCGAAGGUGCCAGUCAGGGUCCUUCUGUCCAGAAGCUUCUUCUAUUCCCAUUCUUUGUAGUCCAGGUAAAUGUAUUUCUCGCGUUCACCAACAAACUCAUUCAGAUCUGGGUGUCCACGUUCCUUUCUCUAGACAAGAAGAAACUGAGAUUUGUCCUAAGAUGACUUCUAUCUCCCAAGGUCUGAUCUCAGAUCUCAACAAUGGGCUAUAUAUUUACACUGAAGAGCAAUCAAGGAAACGGCAACACUCUGUUUUA
Long non-coding RNA from Crotalus tigris (Tiger rattlesnake), 767 nucleotides. RefSeq lists it as uncharacterized. The transcript is spliced from 4 exons. The record is from RefSeq and is a predicted model, not a curated record. NCBI's taxonomy places the organism in Eukaryota, Metazoa, Chordata, Lepidosauria, Squamata, Viperidae.